ACGCUCGACACCUACGGAAGGCAGCAGUGGGGGAUAUUGCACAAUGGGGGAAACCCUGAUGCAGCAACGCCGCGUGAGGGAAGACGGUUUUCGGAUUGUAAACCUCUGUCAUCGGUGACGAUAAUGACGGUAGCCGAUGAGGAAGCUCCGGCUAACUACGUGCCAGCAGCCGCGGUAAUCUGAGGCGGGCUGGACAAGGC
Molecule: ribosomal RNA, 200 nt
Filed under: uncultured bacterium
Lineage: Bacteria
Description: partial 16S ribosomal RNA
Rfam family: Bacterial small subunit ribosomal RNA
Source: RNAcentral